CAGUAGCCGCGGGAAUACGUAGGUGGCAAGCGUUGUCCGGAUUUAUUGGGCGUAAAGCGAGCGCAGGCGGUUAGAUAAGUCUGAAGUUAAAGGCUGUGGCUUAACCAUAGUACGCUUUGGAAACUGUUUAACUUGAGUGCAAGAGGGGAGAGUGGAAUUCCAUGUGUAGCGGUGAAAUGCGUAGAUAUAUGGAGGAACACCGGUGGCGAAAGCGGCUCUCUGGCUUGUAACUGACGCUGAGGCUCGAAAGCGUGGGGAGCAAACAGGAUUAGAUACCCCUGUAGUCCCUGUCUCUUAUACA
This 301-nucleotide ribosomal RNA is filed under the name uncultured bacterium. Its description in RNAcentral is "partial 16S ribosomal RNA". It matches the Rfam family "Bacterial small subunit ribosomal RNA", at positions 509 to 808 of the family's 1533-position model. The record is from RNAcentral.